CGCCCGUCAAACCACGAGAGUUGGCAAUGCCAGAAGUCGGUGUCCUAACCGCAAGGAGGGAGCUGCCAAAGGCAGGGUUGAUGAUUGGGGUUAAGUCGUAACAAGGUAUCCCUACCGGAAGGUGGGGAUGGAUCACCUCCUUUCUAUGGAGUUUAGUUUCUAAUAAGAAACCAAGACAACAAGAAAAAUUAGAUGGAUGAUUUAUUGGAUUACUUCUUUUGUUCUGUUUAGUUUUCAGGGAUUGUUUUCUCUGAGCAAUUGUUCUUUAAAAACUGGAUAAUAGACAUCUUUAAAAAAAUAAGAUAAUUUUUAUCUUGCAAUAGGAUAUUCUAAAAAUAAAUUAUUAAGAGAGUAUGGUGGAUGCCUUGGAAUUGGAAGACGAUGAAGGACGCGAUUACCUGCGAUAAGCUUCGGGGAGCUGGAAAUAAGCUUUGAUCCGGAGAUGUCCGAAUGGGGAAACCCACUAUCUCUAAUCAGAUAGUUACUGUACAAUAAAUUCAUAGUUGUGCAGAGUGAUACCUAGAGAAUUGAAACAUCUUAGUACCUAGAGGAAAAGAAAGCGAAUGCGAUUCCCUUAGUAGCGGCAAGCGAAAAGGGAGCAGCCUAACCAGUGGUCAGACUGGGGUUAUAGGACUGUCUAUUAGGUUCGACCUAUGAAGAGUUACAAAAUUUAUAUAUAGCAGAAGUUGUUGGGAAGCAACGCCAUAGAUGGUGGAAGCCCAGUAUGCGAAAUAUAUAAAUCUCUUGACAGUAUCCUGAGUACGGCGAGGCACGUGGAACCUUGUCGGAAUUUGCGCAGACUACUGCGUAAGGCUAAAUACUAUAACCAAUUACCGAUAGUGAACCA
Molecule: small RNA, 847 nt
Filed under: Spiroplasma ixodetis
Lineage: Bacteria; Bacillati; Mycoplasmatota; Mollicutes; Entomoplasmatales; Spiroplasmataceae
Description: bacterial LSU rRNA
Rfam family: Bacterial large subunit ribosomal RNA (bases 334-847)
Source: RNAcentral